GCCUGGGUGGCUUAGUCAGUUAAGCAUCUGACUCUUGAUUUUGGCUCAGGUCAUGAUCUCAUAGUUUGUGGGAUCGAGCCCCACAUCAGGCU
Felis catus (domestic cat) is the source of this 92-nucleotide non-coding RNA. The record is from Rfam. Lineage: Eukaryota; Metazoa; Chordata; Mammalia; Carnivora; Felidae.